CCUGUUUAUCAAAAACAUGGCCUUUUGGAGAUUUAUAUAAAAGGUUGGGCCUGCCCGGUGAUCUGAAAUGGUUUAACGGCUGCGAUUGAAACCGUACUAAGGUAGCAUAAUAAUUUGCCCUUUAAUUGGGGGAGAGAAUGAAUGGUUUGACGGUAAAAAAGCUGUUUUAAAAAUAAAAAAAGAAGUUAACUUUUAAGUGAAAAGGCUUAAGUUUUUAUAAAAGACGAGAAGACCCCGUCGAGCUUAAUUAGAAUAACUUAAAUGUAGGUUAUUUAAAAUUUUAUUGGGGCAAUAGAAAAUGAAAUGAAUCAUUUUUUUUAUUAUAAGGAUCCAGUUUUGACUGAAAAAAGCAAAAGCUACCGCGGGGAUAACAGGGUAAUUUUUUCUGAGAGUUCAUAUUUAAGAAGAAGUUUGCUACCUCGAUGUUGGAUUAGAAUUUCUUUAUGCUUGCAGCAGGUAUAAUAGUAGGACUGUUCGUCCUUUAAAAUUUUACGUGAUCUGAGUUCAGACCGG
Molecule: ribosomal RNA, 513 nt
Filed under: Corbicula colorata
Lineage: Eukaryota; Metazoa; Mollusca; Bivalvia; Venerida; Cyrenidae
Description: partial 16S ribosomal RNA
Rfam family: Bacterial large subunit ribosomal RNA
Source: RNAcentral